ACACAUGCAAGUCGAACGGCAGCACGGGUGCUUGCACCUGGUGGCGAGUGGCGAACGGGUGAGUAAUGCAUCGGAACGUACCCUGGAGUGGGGGAUAACUAUCCGAAAGGAUAGCUAAUACCGCAUAUUCUAUGAGUAGGAAAGCGGGGGAUCUUCGGACCUCGCGCUCUGGGAGCGGCCGAUGUCAGAUUAGCUAGUUGGUGGGGUAAAGGCCUACCAAGGCUACGAUCUGUAGCGGGUCUGAGAGGAUGAUCCGCCACACUGGGACUGAGACACGGCCCAGACUCCUACGGGAGGCAGCAGUGGGGAAUUUUGGACAAUGGGGGCAACCCUGAUCCAGCCAUGCCGCGUGAGUGAAGAAGGCCUUCGGGUUGUAAAGCUCUUUCGGCCGGGAAGAAAUCGCCAUCUCUAAUAUAGGUGGUGGAUGA
Molecule: ribosomal RNA, 428 nt
Filed under: uncultured bacterium
Lineage: Bacteria
Description: bacterial SSU rRNA
Rfam family: Bacterial small subunit ribosomal RNA
Source: RNAcentral